RNAcentral lists this ribosomal RNA (253 nucleotides) under uncultured bacterium. RNAcentral describes it as "partial 16S ribosomal RNA". It matches the Rfam family "Bacterial small subunit ribosomal RNA", at positions 524 to 776 of the family's 1533-position model. The record is from RNAcentral.
UACGUAGGGUGCAAGCGUUGUCCGGAAUUAUUGGGCGUAAAGAGCUCGUAGGCGGUCUGUCGCGUCGGCUGUGAAAUCCCGAGGCUCAACCUCGGGUCUGCAGUCGAUACGGGCAAACUGGAGUGUUGCAGGGGAGACUGGAAUUCCUGGUGUAGCGGUGAAAUGCGCAGAUAUCAGGAGGAACACCGGUGGCGAAGGCGGGUCUCUGGGCCGAUACUGACGCUGAGGAGCGAAAGCGUGGGGAGCAAACAGG